This 322-nucleotide ribosomal RNA is filed under the name uncultured Coprococcus sp. RNAcentral's name for it is "partial 16S ribosomal RNA". Lineage: Bacteria; Bacillati; Bacillota; Clostridia; Lachnospirales; Lachnospiraceae. The record is from RNAcentral.
GGAGUUUGGGCCGUGUCUCAGUCCCAAUGUGGCCGUACACCCUCUCAGGCCGGCUACUGAUCGUCGCCUUGGUGGGCCGUUACCUCACCAACUAGCUAAUCAGACGCGGGUCCAUCCUAUACCACCGGAGUUUUUCACACUGCAACAUGCGAUGCUGUGUGCUUAUGCGGUAUUAUCAGUCGUUUCCAACUGCUAUCCCCCAGUAUAGGGCAGGUUACCCACGCGUUACUCACCCGUCCGCCACUAAGCUUAAACGAAAAGCAAGCUUUCCAAAUAAGCUCCGUUCGACUUGCAUGUGUUAAGCACGCCGCCAGCGUUCAUC